This 70-nucleotide small nucleolar RNA is filed under the name Procavia capensis (Cape rock hyrax). RNAcentral describes it as "Small nucleolar RNA SNORD50 (ENSPCAG00000019554.1)". It matches the Rfam family "Small nucleolar RNA SNORD50". Rfam says of the family: U50 belongs to the C/D class of snoRNA which contain the C (UGAUGA) and D (CUGA) box motifs. The record is from RNAcentral. Lineage: Eukaryota; Metazoa; Chordata; Mammalia; Hyracoidea; Procaviidae.
CAUCUAUGAUGAUCCUAUCCCGAACCUGAACUGCUGUUGAAAAAACUUCUACGGAUCUGGCUUCUGAGAU